ACUAAGGAUACAGUACAGACUAAGGAUACAGUACAGACUAAGGAUACAGUACAGACACUGGCAACAAGGUCAAUGCUUCCAGUACAGACACUGGCUCCAGUACAGACACUGCCAACAAGGACACUGGCUCCAGGACAGACACUGGCUCCAGGACAGACACUGGCUCCAGGACAGACACUGGCUCCAGGACAGACACUGGCUCCAGGACAGACACUGGCUCCAGUACAGACACUGGAUACAGUACAGUCAAUGGAUACAGUACAG
This is a long non-coding RNA of Dicentrarchus labrax (European seabass), 264 nucleotides long. RefSeq lists it as uncharacterized. Lineage: Eukaryota; Metazoa; Chordata; Actinopteri; Moronidae. The transcript has 3 exons. The record is from RefSeq and is a predicted model, not a curated record.